This 589-nucleotide ribosomal RNA is filed under the name uncultured bacterium. RNAcentral's name for it is "bacterial SSU rRNA". It matches the Rfam family "Bacterial small subunit ribosomal RNA", at positions 337 to 917 of the family's 1533-position model. The record is from RNAcentral.
UCCUACGGGAGGCAGCAGUAGGGAAUCUUCCGCAAUGGACGAAAGUCUGACGGAGCAACGCCGCGUGAGUGAUGAAGGUUUUCGGAUCGUAAAACUCUGUUGUUAGGGAAGAACAAGUUGGGUAGUAACUGACCCAACCUUGACGGUACCUAACCAGAAAGCCACGGCUAACUACGUGCCAGCAGCCGCGGUAAUACGUAGGUGGCAAGCGUUGUCCGGAAUUAUUGGGCGUAAAGCGCUCGCAGGCGGUCUUUUAAGUCUGAUGUGAAAGCCCACGGCUUAACCGUGGAGGGUCAUUGGAAACUGGAGGACUUGAGUACAGAAGAGGAGAGUGGAAUUCCACGUGUAGCGGUGAAAUGCGUAGAGAUGUGGAGGAACACCAGUGGCGAAGGCGACUCUCUGGUCUGUAACUGACGCUGAGGAGCGAAAGCGUGGGUAGCGAACAGGAUUAGAUACCCUGGUAGUCCACGCCGUAAACGAUGAGUGCUAGGUGUUAGGGGGUUUCCGCCCCUUAGUGCUGAAGUUAACGCAUUAAGCACCCCGCCUGGGGAGUACGGCCGCAAGGCUGAAACUCAAAGGAAUUGACGGA